UACGUAGGGGGCAAGCGUUGUCCGGAUUUAUUGGGCGUAAAGAGCUCGUAGGCGGCUUAGUAAGUCGGGUGUGAAACCUCCAGGCUCAACCUGGAGACGCCACCCGAUACUGCUGUGGCUAGAGUCCGGUAGGGGAGCGUGGAAUUCCUGGUGUAGCGGUGGAAUGCGCAGAUAUCAGGAGGAACACCAAUAGCGAAGGCAGCUCGCUGGGACGGUACUGACGCUAAGGCGCGAAAGCGUGGGGAGCGAACAGG
RNAcentral lists this ribosomal RNA (254 nucleotides) under uncultured bacterium. RNAcentral describes it as "partial 16S ribosomal RNA". It matches the Rfam family "Bacterial small subunit ribosomal RNA", at positions 524 to 776 of the family's 1533-position model. The record is from RNAcentral.